Molecule: ribosomal RNA, 477 nt
Filed under: uncultured bacterium
Lineage: Bacteria
Description: partial 16S ribosomal RNA
Rfam family: Bacterial small subunit ribosomal RNA
Source: RNAcentral
GAUGAACGCUAGCGGCAGGCCUAACACAUGCAAGUCGAGGGAGAAGCCCUUUCGGGGGCAGAAACCGGCGCACGGGUGCGUAACGCGUAUGCAACCUACCUUUCACAGGGGGAUAGCCCGAAGAAAUUUGGAUUAAUACCCCAUAAUAUUAUUGGAUGGCAUCAUUUGAUAAUUAAAACUGCGGUGGUGAAAGAUGGGCAUGCGUCCUAUUAGCUAGUUGGAGUGGUAACGGCACCCCAAGGCUACGAUAGGUAGGGGUCCUGAGAGGGAGAUCCCCCACACUGGUACUGAGACAGGGACCAGACUCCUACGGGAGGCAGCAGUGAGGAAUAUUGGUCAAUGGUCGGAAGACUGAACCAGCCAUGCCGCGUGCAGGAAGAAUGCCUUAUGGGUUGUAAACUGCUUUUAUAUGGGAAGAAUAAGGCGUACGUGGACGUUGAUGACGGUACCAUAUGAAUAAGCAUCGGCUAACUCCGU